CGUAAUAACAGAAACUAACCAGGAUUCCCUUAGUAACGGCGAGUGAACUGGGAUACCAAUAUAUUUAUGCGUCUCUGGCGCAUAUUUUUAGCCCGUCGAUACUAUCCUAGCGUAUUACCGGUUUCGGCCGGUAGCCCAAUACGCGGGAAUUGUAGCAUCGUAAUAAAAUAUACACCAUGCCUGCGUCGCAAACGUAUAUACACGUAUACUCACACACACAUACUCGUACGCGUACACACCCUUGCAAACACACAGCGCUCCCGCGUUGGAAAGCAAGUCUAUAUCCUCUUUGGAUAUGCCAUAGAGUGUGACAGCCACGUUUGAAACACCCUACGUACCGUACACACACAUACGUAAAAAUACGCGCUGCUUCGCAUACGCAUACCGUAUAUAACCUGAGUCGAGUUAUUU
This 411-nucleotide ribosomal RNA is filed under the name Ammonia sp. RNAcentral's name for it is "partial LSU ribosomal RNA". Lineage: Eukaryota; Foraminifera; Rotaliida; Rotaliidae. The record is from RNAcentral.